Molecule: ribosomal RNA, 390 nt
Filed under: Coelotinae sp. ZZ893
Lineage: Eukaryota; Metazoa; Arthropoda; Arachnida; Araneae; Agelenidae
Description: partial 16S ribosomal RNA
Source: RNAcentral
CUCAAUGAAAUUAAAUAGCCGCAAUAUUAUUGUGCUAAGGUAGCAUAAUCAUUUGUUUUUUAAUUAAAAACUAGAACGAAAGAUUUAACAUUUUCAUUUCUUUCUUAUUUAUAUAUAUUAAAUUUAUUUUAAAUAUUAAAAAAUAUUUAUAACUCAAAAAGACGAUAAGACCCUAUUGAACUUAACUAAAGUUUAACUGGGGUAGUUAAUUAAAUAUUAUUUUAAUUUUAAAUUAAAAUAAACCUAAUACAAUUAAUAUAAUCAAGUUACCAUAGGGAUAACAGCGUAAUAAUUUUCUUAAGAUCUUAUUUAAAAAUUUGUUUACGACCUCGAUGUUGAAUUAAUAAUCUUCUAAAUGCAAUAAUUUAAUAAUGAAAGUCUGUUCGACUU